AGGGAUUGCCCUAGUAACGGCGAGUGAAGCGGCAACAGCUCAAAUUUGAAAUCUGGCCUCGGCCCGAGUUGUAAUUUGUAGAGGAAGCUUUAGGCGCGGCACCUUCUGAGUCCCCUGGAACGGGGCGCCACAGAGGGUGAGAGCCCCGUAUAGUUGGAUGCCUAGCCUGUGUAAAGCUCCUUCGACGAGUCGAGUAGUUUGGGAAUGCUGCUCAAAAUGGGAGGUAAAUUUCUUCUAAAGCUAAAUACCGGCCAGAGACCGAUAGCGCACAAGUAGAGUGAUCGAAAGAUGAAAAGCACUUUGAAAAGAGGGUUAAAUAGCACGUGAAAUUGUUGAAAGGGAAGCGCUUGUGACCAGACUUGCGCCGGGCGGAUCAUCCGGUGUUCUCACCGGUGCACUCCGCCCGGCUCAGGCCAGCAUCGGUUCUCGCGGGGGGAUAAAGGCCCCGGGAACGUAGCUCCUCCGGGAGUGUUAUAGCCCGGGGCGUAAUGUCCUCGCGGGGACCGAGGACCGCGCAUCUGCAAGGAUGCUGGCGUAAUGGUCACCAGCGACCCGUCUUGAAACACGGACCAAGGAGUCAAGGUUUUGCGCGAGUGUUUGGGUGUAAAACCCGCACGCGUAAUGAAAGUGAACGUAGGUGAGAGCUUCGGCGCAUCAUCGACCGAUCCUGAUGUAUUCGGAUGGAUUUGAGUAGGAGCGUUAAGCCUUGGACCCGAAAGAUGGUGAACUAUGCUUGGAUAGGGUGAAGCCAGAGGAAACUCUGGUGGAGGCUCGCAGCGGUUCUGACGUGCAAAUCGAUCGUCAAAUCUGAGCAUGGGGCGAAAGACUAAUCGA
RNAcentral lists this ribosomal RNA (834 nucleotides) under Chaetomium strumarium. RNAcentral's name for it is "LSU rRNA". It matches the Rfam family "Eukaryotic large subunit ribosomal RNA", at positions 70 to 938 of the family's 3401-position model. The record is from RNAcentral. Lineage: Eukaryota; Fungi; Ascomycota; Sordariomycetes; Sordariales; Chaetomiaceae.